UUGAAGGCAACAUUGAGAUC
This 20-nucleotide non-coding RNA is filed under the name Rattus norvegicus (Norway rat). Lineage: Eukaryota; Metazoa; Chordata; Mammalia; Rodentia; Muridae. The record is from RNAcentral.